GACGAACGCUGGCGGCGUGCUUAACACAUGCAAGUCGAACGGUAAGGCCCUUCGGGGUACACGAGUGGCGAACGGGUGAGUAACACGUGGGUGAUCUGCCCUGCACUUCGGGAUAAGCCUGGGAAACUGGGUCUAAUACCGGAUAGGACCACUGCCUGCAUGGGUGGUGGUGGAAAGCUUUUGCGGUGUGGGAUGGGCCCGCGGCCUAUCAGCUUGUUGGUGGGGUGAUGGCCUACCAAGGCGACGACGGGUAGACGGCCGGAGAGGGUGACCGGCCACACUGGGACUGAGAUACGGCCCAGACUACUACGGGAGGCAGCAGUGGGGAAUAUUGCACAAUGGGCGCGAGCCUGAUGCAGCGACGCCGCGUGAGGGAUGACGGCCUUCGGGUUGUAAACCUCUUUCAGCACCGACGAAGCGCAAGUGACGGUAGGUGCAGAAGAAGGACCGGCCAACUACGUGCCAGCCGCCGCCGUAA
RNAcentral lists this ribosomal RNA (478 nucleotides) under uncultured bacterium. Its description in RNAcentral is "partial 16S ribosomal RNA". It matches the Rfam family "Bacterial small subunit ribosomal RNA", at positions 28 to 523 of the family's 1533-position model. The record is from RNAcentral.